AUCAAAAACAUGUCUUCCUGAAAGAGAUUUGAGGUCAAGCCUGCUCAAUGAUUUUAUUUAAAUAGCUGCAGUAAAUUAACUGUACAAAGGUAGCAAAAUAAUUAGUUAAUUAAAUAUUAACGGGGAUGAAGGGUUUCAUAAAAAAUUAACUUUUUUAGUUAAAUAAUAUGAAUUUUAAUUUUGAAUUCAAAUGUUCAGAUUAGAUUAAGGGACGAUAAGACCCCAUAGAUUUUUAUAAUUAAUCUGGGGGAUUUUUUUAGUUUAAUUUUUUCCUCGGUCUAAUUGUUUUAAUGGGAUGUUAUAGAAAUGAUUGAAUUUUUUUUAAAAUGACAAUUUUUUUUGAUUUAGGGAUUAAUAGGAAUUAAUUUAGAGAAAAAUACCUUGGGGAUAACAGCAUAAUAUUUUUUUAAAGAUCUUAUUUGAGAAUUUGAUUAUGACCUCGAUGUUG
This 448-nucleotide ribosomal RNA is filed under the name Prosevania sp. DERV036. RNAcentral's name for it is "partial 16S ribosomal RNA". Lineage: Eukaryota; Metazoa; Arthropoda; Insecta; Hymenoptera; Evaniidae. The record is from RNAcentral.